GGGGGAGCUCUACGCGCGUUCAGUUUUGCUGGAGCGUCAGCAGAAGAAACAUCGUGUCUGGUUUUCUGACUAUCUUCAUUUUCAGAUUUCCCCUCUUUCAAGCAGCCUGACCCAAACCAUCACCAUUCCCAAGACGUAAUCCAACCCAAAAAUAACUUUUUAGCACACCACACUCAGACUUUGGACCAGUCUUCAUAUGGAUCACCUUAACUCCUCUGAAUGAAUUAUCAAGAAUCUAUACACUUGGAGUGAAUGCUGCAACUCCAAGCUCUUAUCUUUUAAAGGUGCGGUUUUCACUCCUCCUUUUAUGACACUCGAUAACACAAAAAACACACACAGACCUACCUGCGCUGGCCAUCAACACCUUGUGGAGUAAAUACAGAGUACAAGAAAAGAAAUAAAGGUCAAGAUCUCUGAUAAAA
Poecilia reticulata (guppy) is the source of this 422-nucleotide long non-coding RNA. RefSeq lists it as uncharacterized. The record is from RefSeq and is a predicted model, not a curated record. NCBI's taxonomy places the organism in Eukaryota, Metazoa, Chordata, Actinopteri, Cyprinodontiformes, Poeciliidae.